This 253-nucleotide ribosomal RNA is filed under the name uncultured bacterium. Its description in RNAcentral is "partial 16S ribosomal RNA". It matches the Rfam family "Bacterial small subunit ribosomal RNA", at positions 524 to 776 of the family's 1533-position model. The record is from RNAcentral.
GACGUAGGGCGCGAGCGUUGUCCGGAUUUAUUGGGCGUAAAGAGCUCGUAGGCGGCUUGUCGCGUCGUCCGUGAAAACCUGCGGCUCAACUGCAGGCUGGCGGUCGAUACGGGCAGGCUGGAGUACUGCAGGGGAGACUGGAAUUCCUGGUGUAGCGGUGGAAUGCGCAGAUAUCAGGAGGAACACCGGUGGCGAAGGCGGGUCUCUGGGCAGUAACUGACGCUGAGGAGCGAAAGCGUGGGGAGCGAACAGG